AUUGAACGCUGGCGGCAGGCCUAACACAUGCAAGUCGAGCGGCAGCGGGAAAGUAGCUUGCUACUUUUGCCGGCGAGCGGCGGACGGGUGAGUAAUGCCUGGGAAAUUGCCCAGUCGAGGGGGAUAACAGUUGGAAACGACUGCUAAUACCGCAUACGCCCUACGGGGGAAAGCAGGGGACCUUCGGGCCUUGCGCGAUUGGAUAUGCCCAGGUGGGAUUAGCUAGUUGGUGAGGUAAUGGCUCACCAAGGCGACGAUCCCUAGCUGGUCUGAGAGGAUGAUCAGCCACACUAGAACUGAGACACGGUCCAGACUCCUACGGGAGGCAGCAGUGGGGAAUAUUGCACAAUGGGGGAAACCCUGAUGCAGCCAUGCCGCGUGUGUGAAGAAGGCCUUCGGGUUGUAAAGCACUUUCAGCGAGGAGGAAAGGUUGAUGCCUAAUACGCAUCAACUGUGACGUUACUCGCAGAAGAAGCACCGGCUAACUCCGUGCCAGCCGCCGCGGUAA
Molecule: ribosomal RNA, 508 nt
Filed under: uncultured bacterium
Lineage: Bacteria
Description: partial 16S ribosomal RNA
Rfam family: Bacterial small subunit ribosomal RNA
Source: RNAcentral